CGACUCUCGGCAACGGAUAUCUCGGCUCUCGCAUCGAUGAAGAACGUAGCGAACUGCGAUACUUGGUGUGAAUUGCAGAAUCCCGUGAACCAUCGAGUCUUUGAACGCAAGUUGCGCCCGAAAUCCAUUUGGACGAGGGCACGUUUGCCUGGGUGUCACAC
Molecule: ribosomal RNA, 161 nt
Filed under: Eugenia florida
Lineage: Eukaryota; Viridiplantae; Streptophyta; Magnoliopsida; Myrtales; Myrtaceae
Also listed under: 1 other name
Description: 5.8S ribosomal RNA
Rfam family: 5.8S ribosomal RNA
About the family: 5.8S ribosomal RNA (5.8S rRNA) is a component of the large subunit of the eukaryotic ribosome. It is transcribed by RNA polymerase I as part of the 45S precursor that also contains 18S and 28S rRNA. Functionally, it is thought that 5.8S rRNA may be involved in ribosome translocation.
Source: RNAcentral